RNAcentral lists this ribosomal RNA (484 nucleotides) under uncultured bacterium. RNAcentral's name for it is "partial 16S ribosomal RNA". It matches the Rfam family "Bacterial small subunit ribosomal RNA", at positions 30 to 507 of the family's 1533-position model. The record is from RNAcentral.
AUUGAACGCUGGCGGCAGGCCUAACACAUGCAAGUCGAGCGGAUGAAGGGAGCUUGCUCCUGGAUUCAGCGGCGGACGGGUGAGUAGUGCCUAGGAAUCUGCCUGGUAGUGGGGGAUAACGUCCGGAAACGGGCGCUAAUACCGCAUACGUCCUGAGGGAGAAAGUGGGGGAUCUUCGGACCUCACGCUAUCAGAUGAGCCUAGGUCGGAUUAACUAGUUGGUGGGGUAAAGGCCUACCAAGGCGACGAUCCGUAACUGGUCUGAGAGGAUGAUCGGUCACACUGGAACUGAGACACGGUCCAGACUCCUACGGGAGGCAGCAGUGGGGAAUAUUGGACAAUGGGCGAAAGCCUGAUCCAGCCAUGCCGCGUGUGUGAAGAAGGUCUUCGGAUUGUAAAGCACUUUAAGUUGGGAGGAAGGGCAGUAAGUUAAUACCUUGCUGUUUUGACGUUACCAACAGAAUAAGCACCGGCUAACUUCGUG